AACGCAAGUUGCGCCUGAUGCCAUUAGGUUGAAGGCACGUCUGCCUGGGCGUCAUGCAUUGCGUCACCCACUCCCCCGUGCCCCAAGUGGGCAUGUCGGUGCGUGGGUGGAUAUUGGCCCUCCGUUCACAUCCGUGCUCAGUCGGCCUAAAAAAUGGGUCCUCAAUGACGGACAUCACGACAAGUGGUGGUUGCUAAACCAUCACGUCAUGUCGUGCAUGCCAUCAUUUGUUGUGGGUUGGCCCAUUUGACCCAGAAGUGCCGUUUAACUUUGGCGCCUCAACUGUGACCCCAGGUCAGGCGGGAUUACCCGCUGAGUUUAA
Molecule: unclassified non-coding RNA, 322 nt
Filed under: Tricholoma sp.
Lineage: Eukaryota; Fungi; Basidiomycota; Agaricomycetes; Agaricales; Tricholomataceae
Description: partial contains 5.8S ribosomal RNA, internal transcribed spacer 2, and large subunit ribosomal RNA
Source: RNAcentral